Molecule: non-coding RNA, 707 nt
Filed under: Taxus mairei
Lineage: Eukaryota; Viridiplantae; Streptophyta; Pinopsida; Cupressales; Taxaceae
Source: RNAcentral
GUCGUUUUAAAAACUGAACCGUGCAGGGGAGUGGGCGUGUCCGGCGCGUCUCCUCCCCGUCCCCCGCUCUUGCGGGAGUUCGGACUGGAGUUCCGGAUGCUUUUCCCUUUGCAAUGCCUCGGGGGUCCCCUCCGCUGGCUUUCUCUCGGGUGGGCGUUCCGGUCUUCGCAAGUUGUUCUCCUGCGGUUCGGGUUAUUACAAGGGCGAGUGCCAGUGUCGUCUACAGUGUGGCUAUUCGAGGGGCUCGUUUUCGGCCGCAGUGGGUGCACCAGCGACUCUGUUCGUCUGGCAGUCCUGCUCCUUUGCGGUCGAAGGGUCCCAGCAAUUUCCACCUGCAAGGCGGUUCCUUGCAAACGCCCGUGGCUGCUUUGCAGACCGUUGAACAUUUGCCGGUCUGCAAAGCAGCUGCAACCCCCCGAAGUGUCGCCGGGCAGGCAAUGCCGUACAGAUUAUUUCGUGCCUUUGGACGGGUGCACCGUCCACUGUUUCCGUUCUCAUCUGUUCGGUCUCCGGCCUUUCGACACUCCGGGGCGGGGACACCCUUUCUCCGAUUUUCCCCCACGGGGCAUCGCCUCUGGUUGCAGGGGGGCGUCGAGUGGAGGUGCGUGUCAUAACACUCAACGCAUCGGUGCGGAUUGCACCAAGGAUCUGAUAAAUAGCUGUGCGGGCUGCGCGCCAUGCGCGCGUCGGACUCACGGCGCCAAUUA